This 501-nucleotide ribosomal RNA is filed under the name uncultured Lachnospiraceae bacterium. RNAcentral describes it as "partial 16S ribosomal RNA". Lineage: Bacteria; Bacillati; Bacillota; Clostridia; Lachnospirales; Lachnospiraceae. The record is from RNAcentral.
CACGUAUUUAGCCGGAGCUUCUUAGUCAGGUACCGUCAUUUUCUUCCCUGCUGAUAGAGCUUUACAUACCGAAAUACUUCUUCACUCACGCGGCGUUGCUGCAUCAGGGUUUCCCCCAUUGUGCAAUAUUCCCCACUGCUGCCUCCCGUAGGAGUUUGGGCCGUGUCUCAGUCCCAAUGUGGCCGUUCACUCUCUCAAGCCGGCUACUGAUCGUUGUCUUGGUAGGCCGUUACCCUGCCAACUAACUAAUCAGACGCGGGCCCAUCCUGUACCACCGGAGUUUUUCCUGCUGUACCAUGCGGUACUGUAGGCUUAUGCGGUAUUAGCAGCCGUUUCCAGCUGUUGUCCCCCUGUACAGGGCAGGUUACCCACGCGUUACUCACCCGUCCGCCACUCAGUCCUGCGCGUCUUCCCUCCGGAGAGUUCCGUCACACAGUCUUCGUUCGACUUGCAUGUGUUAGGCACGCCGCCAGCGUUCAUCCUGAGCCAGGAUCAAACUCU